CGAGCGGUAGAGAGAAGCUUGCUUCUCUUGAGAGCGGCGGACGGGUGAGUAAUGCCUAGGAAUCUGCCUGGUAGUGGGGGAUAACGUUCGGAAACGGACGCUAAUACCGCAUACGUCCUACGGGAGAAAGCAGGGGACCUUCGGGCCUUGCGCUAUCAGAUGAGCCUAGGUCGGAUUAGCUAGUUGGUGGGGUAAUGGCUCACCAAGGCGACGAUCCGUAACUGGUCUGAGAGGAUGAUCAGUCACACUGGAACUGAGACACGGUCCAGACUCCUACGGGAGGCAGCAGUGGGGAAUAUUGGACAAUGGGCGAAAGCCUGAUCCAGCCAUGCCGCGUGUGUGAAGAAGGUCUUCGGAUUGUAAAGCACUUUAAGUUGGGAGGAAGGGCAGUUACCUAAUACGUGAUUGUUUUGACGUUACCGACAGAAUAAGCACCGGCUAACUCUGUGCCAGCAGCCGCGGUAAUACAGAGGGUGCAAGCGUUAAUCGGAAUUACUGGGCGUAAAG
This 507-nucleotide ribosomal RNA is filed under the name Pseudomonas sp. RNAcentral describes it as "bacterial SSU rRNA". It matches the Rfam family "Bacterial small subunit ribosomal RNA", at positions 63 to 565 of the family's 1533-position model. Lineage: Bacteria; Pseudomonadati; Pseudomonadota; Gammaproteobacteria; Pseudomonadales; Pseudomonadaceae. The record is from RNAcentral.